This 85-nucleotide transfer RNA is filed under the name Felis catus (domestic cat). It matches the Rfam family "tRNA". From Rfam's summary of the family: Transfer RNA (tRNA) molecules are approximately 80 nucleotides in length. Their secondary structure includes four short double-helical elements and three loops (D, anti-codon, and T loops). The record is from Rfam by way of RNAcentral. Lineage: Eukaryota; Metazoa; Chordata; Mammalia; Carnivora; Felidae.
GCCUGGGUGGCUGAGUCGGUCAAGCGUCCAACUUCAGCUCAGGCCAUGAUCUCGCAGUUUGUGGGUUCGAGCCCCACCUCGGGCU